This is a long non-coding RNA of Nelumbo nucifera (sacred lotus), 695 nucleotides long. RefSeq lists it as uncharacterized. Lineage: Eukaryota; Viridiplantae; Streptophyta; Magnoliopsida; Proteales; Nelumbonaceae. The record is from RefSeq and is a predicted model, not a curated record.
GAAGAAUGCUCGACUUGCGGGCAAGAUACACAACCUAUCGCGGAAAAACUAUAAGGAAACCGAUCAACUCUUCGGUCACCGACACCUUCAUGCAUUGCCACUUUUAGGAGAUUGGAUCCACGGAGCCGAUUCAAGCGUUCGAAUUGUAGCAGUGAACAGCCAUGGCCUCGCAUACGCUGGAGUCCAGAAUGAGCCACUCUAACCCAYUUCUUCUGUAUACACUCUUAAACUUUUUCUUCUCCACCUAUUUCUAAUUAGAUAUUCUUGGCAGGUGAAUGGCGUGGGCGUGGAAARAAGGCUCGGAAGUCAUACGGAUUCGGAAGCGGCACGGGCACGAAGAAUGCUCGACUUGCGGGCAAGAUGAGCAACCUCUCGCGGCAAUACUAUAAGGAAGCCGAUCAACUCUUUGAUGAUUGAUGAGAACAUGGACGACACACUGGCAAAUGAGAACUCAACCUCAACAUUAUCUCAUCCAACCGGUGGCUGAUGAUUAAGAUAAUCUUUGUAUUGAUUGUAUUCCUCAUGAUUUUCCUAUUUUUUUGGGGCAUAACAUUAUAUCAAGAAUAACUGAAAAGAAGAAAUAGAAAGAAAGUGCCUUUUCAAAGGCCACGGGCCUUACACCGUCAAGUGAUCAAGUCUCAUCCAACAUUUCAAAAAUUAUAUUUGCAGUUUUGCACUGCCUUGUACAUAACAUC